Molecule: long non-coding RNA, 2164 nt
Organism: Mus musculus (house mouse)
Lineage: Eukaryota; Metazoa; Chordata; Mammalia; Rodentia; Muridae
Product: predicted gene, 41404
Exons: 2
Source: RefSeq, a predicted model, not a curated record
GGGGGAGGAGGGCUGCCAUAUUGUGUUCAUUCAGCAAAUGUUUGCUGAAUGUUGGGUGUGUAGAGCUGGCAGGGAGUCUCAGGCUUCAGCAGCAGGUGCAGGUGGCCAAGAGGCACAGGACGAGGAAGGGAGGGCACAGCCCUGGGAGGCGGGCUCAGCGUGGCAGCCAGUGCCAGGUGGGCAAGACUCAGCCUCAGGGGACAGAUGAGAGCUAUGACCUUUAUUCAGAAGGUGAUGGGAAGCCGGGGCUUGGGAAUGGCAGGAUCAAAGCAGUGUUUGUAGAAGACUGGUCUGCCUGCGUGCUGGCAGAGGACUACUCAGAUCGAGUGGGGGAGGAGACAGGAACAUUUCCUUACCUGGCAAGGGAAAGUGUGGUUACCAGAGGUGCUGCAGAGAAGACACUCAUCUGUUCCAAGGAGACUGUUUCAUGCAGAGGGUGCCAUAACAGUCAAGCUAAUGUGACCUGAAGCCCAUGACUGUGCUCCAGCCUGUCCCCUCUCUGAAGGAUGGACAGACAGACAUAUGUACAUUUCUGGUUGGUGAAAAGGGAUCUUGGAAAGGCUAAGUAACCAGCUCACCUCACACAAGAAACUUCUCAUUGCACCUGUCCUGGGCUGCAGCGGGACACUAGAACUUUUGAGAAAAAGCAGGGACCCUCCCCUAAGUGCGAGGGGUCUGAUAGGUCCCUCGCCUAUCUCAGCUGGGUGAGCUUGGGUGCACAAUGCCUCCUAGCCGCUAUUUAGUGCUGUCCUGCUUCUUCAGGCCAGUUGUGAAAACUAGGUAAGAGCAGAAAAGCUAGGGAUGUAACUCAGCGGUAGAGCAGGAGUUCAGCAUGCCCCAAGUCCUAGGGCUGAUGCCUCCCUCCCUCCCUGCACCCCCCAAAAGAAAAUGUCACCUUUUUCCAGUGUGGCAUGAUCAGCAGGGGAGAAAAUAGGUCACCAGGUCACCAUCAUCAGCCUUUGCUAACUACUGAGUAUACUCUGGCCUUUCACACACACACUCACAUGCACACAUAUACACACAGACACACACACAUGCACACACACAUAUACACAUACCUGUCCCACCUGUUCCACUCUUCCCUAGGAAUUUUGGGCUUGGCCCCUUGGCUUUUUACAUUUUCAUAUCUUUCUAACUACCUUUUUUUCAGGUUUCUGAUUUGUUGUUGUUCGUUUUUUUAAAGACAGCAUCUCUAUAAAGCCCUGACUGUCCUGGGGUGUGCUGUGUAGAGCAGGCGACUUCAAACUCACAGAGAUCCACCUGCCUCUGCUGCUGUUCACACACUUCUGGUUUGUAGCUGUUUGUUGUGUUUUGUUUUUUGUUUUUGUUGUUGUGUUUGUAUGGGGCUGGGAUUGAACCUAGAACUUCACAGUGAACAACAAGUACUCUACCUCCAGCCUUUACACCUUACUUUUCUAGUCUGGGUGUGGUAGUGCAUGCCUGUAUUCCCAGCACUUGGAGAGGAAGCUGAGGCAGGAGCAUUGCCAUGUGUUGAAGGCCAGUUUGGAUUACAUAUCAAGUUCCAACCCAGCCUGGGUUACAGAGUCUGACUCAGCUAUCCUACCAGACCCUCAUUAUUUAUUAUUUUUCUAAAUUUAGCUUGCUCAAAGGUUCCCUUUCCCUAAAAGUUCUACAGCACAUGUCUUAAUCCUUUAUUUAUGUGACAUCAAUGGUUUGUUGGCAAGACAUCGGAGGCUGGCUCACUGUGUAUGCUGACAUCUUCAUGAGCCUGUAGCUCUUUGGGGUUCCACAUCUGUAUUUGUGUACAUUUGAGUCAGUGCCAGUAAUGAACAUCUGUUGUUUUUGCCUGCCUGGCCUCUCCCACUUCUCAUUUUGGUGAAUGGCCUCUUUUCUCUCCUUGCAUUAGUUUGGGUGGGCCUGACCCUCCCCGAUUUCCCACUGGCUCAUCUUGGGAUCUGUCUGGCUCAAGUGAUAGCAUUUUAUUAUUCUCCUGACCAAAGGCUUGGUUCAGAAAUAGGCAUGUGAUCUGUCAGCUGAUGUAGCGUCACCCUUGGAAUUUCAGCUAGACACAUCUGGAAAUAAGCAGUCCCUUGGUGAUAUCCAUCCUAGUCACAGCUUGGGGACAGCCUGCUGAGGAGGAGGGAGAGUACAAGCCAAAUGCACUCCCAACUGAGAAAACAAAUAAAUGAUCUUUUAUGCUGAA